UUGCCGCUCCUGCAGCUGCUCGGCCCUCUCUUCCUUGGCGUCGAGUUCUUCUUCGACCUUGGCUGCACGCCGAGAGAGGAAAGAAGGACACGAUGGAUGUCAACAUGAAGAGGGUAGAGGACGUGCUGAUGCACAAGCGGCUCCUGGAGCUGGCCAGGGAUUCGAUGCAGCGCCAGGCUUUCGCCGUGGGGGCCGUGCAAAUCAAGAGCCACUUCAUUCAUGAGGCUGCUGAGCAAAGGUACUACUGUGUGUCUAUGUACUUGUGGCGCAGCUGCU
Molecule: long non-coding RNA, 276 nt
Organism: Triticum aestivum (bread wheat)
Lineage: Eukaryota; Viridiplantae; Streptophyta; Magnoliopsida; Poales; Poaceae
Exons: 2
Source: RefSeq, a predicted model, not a curated record